This is a long non-coding RNA of Pyrgilauda ruficollis (rufous-necked snowfinch), 548 nucleotides long. RefSeq lists it as uncharacterized. The record is from RefSeq and is a predicted model, not a curated record. NCBI's taxonomy places the organism in Eukaryota, Metazoa, Chordata, Aves, Passeriformes, Passeridae. The transcript has 2 exons.
AUGUCACCUGGAUGGCACACAGAGCUGGGACAGUGACACCGAUGUCACCUGGGUGGCACCUGGAGUGACACAGGUGUCACACGGAGCUGGGACAGUGACACCAACGUCACCUGGAUGUGACAUGGACACGGAGGUGACACGGGUGUCACACGGAGCUGGCACGGUGACACGGAGGUGACACGGGUGUCACACGGAGCUGGGACAGUGACACCAGUGUCACCUGGAUGUGACACGGACACGGAGGUGACACAGGUGUCACACGGAGCUGCCACGAGGACACGGAGGUGACAUGAGGACACGGAGGUGACACGGCUGUCACAUGGAGCUGGCACAGUGACAGAUGUGACACGAGGACACGGCUGUCACCUGGGUGUCACCCGGGUGUGACACGAGGACACGGAGGUGACACGGGUGUCACCCGGAGCUGGCACGGUGACACCGGUGUCACCCGGAAGUGACACAGAGCUGUCACCCGGAGCUGGCACGGUGACACCCGUGUCACCCGGCUGUCACCCGGUGCCACCCCAAUAAAGUCCCAGCGCUGGUGA